GUGACACUGAAGGCAACCAUGGCAAAAUUCUGUCUGUUGAAGGACCAGAGCACAAAGAAUACAUAUCUGAAUCGAAUGAUUAAGCCUCCUAUCAUUUCAGACCCACUGGGCUGUUUCCAAGUCUGUGAGCUCCAUCAAACACAGCUCCAUGGUGACCUCUACUGUCUGACUGCGAGAAUCCCGUCAAAGACAAAGAGUUUCCAGGAAGCUUCACCAGGAAAUUUUCCUCCCUGUGUGCUAAGAAGUCCCCUUUGCUAAUAGCUGGGUCAAGUCUGAUGAAGCAGGAAGAUGCCCUGCAUGGAAAACUGAGGCCUCUGGAGAUGCCAUCCGUUUGUCUCAAGGGAUAGCUCAAAGGAUGACUGGAACGGAUUUCUGCAAUCCCUGUCCUAUUGCUGGUGUCCAAGUUUCUGUCUCUAUUCACAUGCAGACCUCUGUUUGUUUUCCCAAAACAGGGAUUAGGUUCAGCUUUGGUAGCUUUUCUGAUUUGUUCUCCUCUGGUUUCUCCUAAGGCCGGGCUUACAGAGGGUAUCUUCCUUAUUGAUACUAGAGUGAAUAGCAUUAAUUGGC
Molecule: long non-coding RNA, 567 nt
Filed under: Capra hircus (goat)
Lineage: Eukaryota; Metazoa; Chordata; Mammalia; Artiodactyla; Bovidae
Description: lncRNA (ENSCHIG00000004235.1)
Source: RNAcentral